GAAUGAACGCUGGCGGCAUGCCUAACACAUGCAAGUCGAACGAAGUCCUUCGGGGCUUAGUGGCGCACGGGUGCGUAACGCGUGGGAAUCUGCCCCUUGGUUCGGAAUAACAGUUGGAAACGACUGCUAAUACCGGAUGAUGACGUAAGUCCAAAGAUUUAUCGCCGAGGGAUGAGCCCGCGUAGGAUUAGGUAGUUGGUGUGGUAAAGGCGCACCAAGCCGACGAUCCUUAGCUGGUCUGAGAGGAUGAUCAGCCACACUGGGACUGAGACACGGCCCAGACUCCUACGGGAGGCAGCAGUGGGGAAUAUUGGACAAUGGGCGAAAGCCUGAUCCAGCAAUGCCGCGUGAGUGAUGAAGGCCUUAGGGUUGUAAAGCUCUUUUACCCGGGAUGAUAAUGACAGUACCGGGAGAAUAAGCUCCGGCUAACUCCGUGCCAGCAGCCGCGGUAAUACGGAGGGAGCUAGCGUUAUUCGGAAUUACUGGGCGUAAAGCGCACGUAGGCGGCUUUGUAAGUAAGAGGUGAAAGCCCAGAGCUCAACUCUGGAAUUGCCUUUUAGACUGCAUCGCUUGAAUCAUGGAGAGGUCAGUGGAAUUCCGAGUGUAGAGGUGAGAUUCGUAGAUAUUCGGAAGAACACCAGUGGCGAAGGCGGCUGACUGGACAUGUAUUGACGCUGAGGUGCGAAAGCGUGGGGAGCAAAC
This 702-nucleotide ribosomal RNA is filed under the name uncultured bacterium. RNAcentral describes it as "bacterial SSU rRNA". It matches the Rfam family "Bacterial small subunit ribosomal RNA", at positions 27 to 773 of the family's 1533-position model. The record is from RNAcentral.